UCUGCCUUCUCAAUUUCAACUCCCCUCUUUCCGUGUGGUUGCGUUUUUUAUUUCUGUUUUUUUGGGGGGGAUUGAAUUUGAUUUUUUUUCAGUGAACUUGAAUCCGUAAGUCUUAAAGACGAUUUCUCUAUAAUCAAAUGUUGCUUGAGUGAUAAUCGCUUAUUUAGAGUAGGUUUGGAAUGCAUUGGCUCAGUGCUUUAUCGGGUCUAGGGAAGCUUGGUACCUGAGUACAUGUCAUCGCCCUCCUUAUACGAAGGGGUUUUGUAGUCUAGUCGUCUCUAAUCCAGUAGAGAUCGCAGGGCCUGACAGAAAUGUGAAUAUUUUAGGUGGGUUGUGUAUUAAAGUUUUGAGAUAUGUGCAUGUUUUCUCAGGUCCUAGUAUAGGGUUCUUUUCCUUUCGCUUAAUGUCACAUUCUGAAUCAAGCUCAAUUCUUUGGAUGAAAUAAAAUGUUUCGAGUAUUGAGAAUAUGUGUAUGAGCAUUUGCAUUUGGUGCCAUCAUAUGAUCAAUCAUUUUUUGGUAAUUAAUCUCAGUCAAUGGGUUUCCAGUACAACUCUGGAGAUGAUAGUAUGAUUGUAAAAAUGAUCUCGCUUGAUGGGACUUGAUAUUAUGGUAGCAGCCAUGACUUGAUAUUAUGGUAGCAGCCAUGCUUUUGGUACCCUUGUGUGUGCAAUUCAGAAGUUAGAAUCAUCAACCAUGUGCUAUACUAAAACUGUGUACCAUAUAAAAAGAACAUGGGUAUUCUAUCAAGAGCGAACAAAAUUGUUACAAGUGGUACUAGAACCAAUCUUUUAUCUGGUGUGGCACUUCGUUUUCUCUACAAGGAUUGUUUGCUUGUCUAACUGGCUCCGCAAUCUUGUGUGAUUCAAUUAAGGAUGUUGUGUUUAUAUGAAGUAAUUGUGAUAUCCCACAUCGGUUAGGGGAAGAAGUUCUUGACACUGUAUGUGUAAUGGACUCCUCUUAACCAUGUAGCUGCAUUUUGAAGUCAUGAGGUCCCAUUGAACUUAGACGGACAAUAUCUAUAAGGGAGCAGGUCAUUACCAUACACUCCUACAAAAAC
RNAcentral lists this long non-coding RNA (1058 nucleotides) under Vitis vinifera (wine grape). RNAcentral describes it as "long non-coding RNA (VVIN_LNC002054)". The record is from RNAcentral. Lineage: Eukaryota; Viridiplantae; Streptophyta; Magnoliopsida; Vitales; Vitaceae.